RNAcentral lists this ribosomal RNA (429 nucleotides) under Pseudomonadota bacterium. RNAcentral describes it as "Proteobacteria bacterium partial 16S ribosomal RNA". It matches the Rfam family "Bacterial small subunit ribosomal RNA", at positions 355 to 776 of the family's 1533-position model. The record is from RNAcentral. Lineage: Bacteria; Pseudomonadati; Pseudomonadota.
UGGGGAAUAUUGGACAAUGGGCGAAAGCCUGAUCCAGCCAUGCCGCGUGUGUGAAGAAGGUCUUCGGAUUGUAAAGCACUUUAAGUUGGGAGGAAGGGCAGUAAGCGAAUACCUUGCUGUUUUGACGUUACCGACAGAAUAAGCACCGGCUAACUCUGUGCCAGCAGCCGCGGUAAUACAGAGGGUGCAAGCGUUAAUCGGAAUUACUGGGCGUAAAGCGCGCGUAGGUGGUUCGUUAAGUUGAAUGUGAAGGCCCCGGGCUCAACCUGGGAACUGCAUCCAAACCUGGCGAGCUAGAGUAGGGCAGAGGGUGGUGGAAUUUCCUGUGUAGCGGUGAAAUGCGUAGAUAUAGGAAGGAACACCAGUGGCGAAGGCGACCACCUGGGCUCAUACUGACACUGAGGUGCGAAAGCGUGGGGAGCAAACAGG